CAACGGAGGCGUCAGGUAGGUCCUCGGAGUCGGCAUCGCGCACGUCUCCAGCUUCACCGGAGGCGUCAGGCACGGAGUCGGACUCGGCUUCACCGGAGGCGUCAGGCACGGAGUCGGACUCGGCUUCGGCGUCGCGCAAGGCGUCAGGCAGGUGCACGGAGUCGGCGUCGCGCACGUCGGAGUCGAUGAUAGCCGUCUCGACUCCAGAUUCAACGGAGGAGACAGGUACGGAGUCAGCGUCGGCGUCGCGCUCGUCGGAGUCGAUGAGCGGUGCCUCGACUUCUCCAGUUUCAACGGAGGAGUCAGAUACGGCGUCGGCGUCUUCAACGGAGAAGUCAGAUACGGAGUCGGCGUCGGCGUCGUGUGCGUUGUAGUCGAUGACAGGUGCCUCGACUUCUCCAGUAACGGAGGAGUCAGAUACGGAGUCGGCGUCGGCGUCUUCAACGGAGAAGUCAGAUACGGAGUCGGCGUCGGCGUCGACUUCUCCAGCUUCAACGGAGGAGUCAGAUACGGAGUCGGCGUCGGCGUCGCGCACGGCGGAAUCGGUGACAGGUGUCUCGACAUCUUCAGUUUCAACCGAGGCGUCAGGUAGGUGCUCGGAGACGGCGUCGCACACGGCGGAGUCGAUAACAGGAGUCUCGGCUUCUUUAGUUUCAACCGAGGCGUCAGGUAGGUGCUCGGAGACGGCGUCGCACACGGCGGAGUCGAUAACAGGAGUCUCGGCUUCUUUAGUUUCAACCGAGGCGUCAGGUAGGUGCUCGGAGACGGCGUCGCACACGGCGGAGUCGAUAACAGGAGUCUCGGCUUCUUUAGUUUCAACCGAGGCGUCAGGUAGGUGCUCGGAGACGGCGUCGCACACGGCGGAGUCGAUAACAGGAGUCUCGGCUUCUUUAGUUUCAACCGAGGCGUCAGGUAGGUGCUCGGAGACGGCGUCGCACACGGCGGAGUCGAUAACAGGAGUCUCGGCUUCUUUAGUUUCAACCGAGGCGUCAGGUAGGUGCUCGGAGACGGCGUCGCGCACGGCGGAGUCGAUAACAGGUGUCUUGGCUUCUCCACUUUCAACGGAGGCGUCAGCUAGGUGCUCGGAGUCGGCGGAGUCGAUGACGGGUGCGGAGUCGGCGUCGGAGCCGACGAGAGACGGUGGAGCUGAUCGGAGAUUCCCCAUGACUACCCUGGCAAGCAUAGAGAAUAUGACGACAGCUGCUAUCCCACAAACAAUACCUCCU
RNAcentral lists this long non-coding RNA (1226 nucleotides) under Daucus carota (carrot). RNAcentral's name for it is "long non-coding RNA (DCAR_LNC002857)". The record is from RNAcentral. Lineage: Eukaryota; Viridiplantae; Streptophyta; Magnoliopsida; Apiales; Apiaceae.